Molecule: long non-coding RNA, 1230 nt
Filed under: Monodelphis domestica (gray short-tailed opossum)
Lineage: Eukaryota; Metazoa; Chordata; Mammalia; Didelphimorphia; Didelphidae
Description: lncRNA (ENSMODG00000032377.2)
Source: RNAcentral
AAAAUGGAAGAUAAGAAUUUUUUUAAAGAGAGAUUAAACUGCUUACUCAAGGUCACAGAGGUAAUAACUGUUGGAGAAGAGAUAAAAAACUAUAUCUUCUCACUCAAGACUAGGACUCUUUUCUUAAAACAUUAAUUGCCUGCUCUGAUUCAUACUACCUCUAUUUUCUUCUUCAAUUCAUAAAAGGAAAGAAUUAGGUCUAGAUUAUUUAGACAUUAUGACAUAAAUUUGGAGCUAAACCUAGAAAAUCAUAUUUUUCUUUCUAAAUUAAGAGGUCUCUCUCAAAAGAUUGGAUUUUUAAAGCAUGUUAUUGUAUGGAUGUCUUGGUAUUCUUUGAUUUUCAGGCACUAUCCUAGGGAAGACCUCAGGAGAGGACAGAACUCAUCCAAAUCUCUACUUAAAAUUCAACCCCUCCCUAAAGCAUUCAGGGAGGCACUUGAGGUUGUUGGAGCCCAGAGAGGAAGGAAGCAGGAAAAAGGGUAAAUCAACAUCUCGAGUACUGGUCCAAGAAAGAUGUGUCUUCGUUUUUUGCAUCCCUGACAUAUAUCACUUGUUGGAGCACUCUCCAUUUUAUGGAGAUCAGAAAAAAUCUGGAGUGGAUCCCAAGAUGGUUCAGUUACUAAUGAUGGUGGCCAUUGAUGAGAACUGGACUUGGGCUUUUCUUGGUUAUUGAGACUGUGGCUCUGAGAUCCCACCUAUAUUUAGAAAAUGCAAAUUUCCCUUAGGGCAUGGACUGUUAUCCCAUCUAGAAGCUUUGCAGAAGAAUCAGAGGAUGGAGGACACUGAAUAGAAGACAAACCAAUGAGCCUAGACCUUAUGAAGAGGCAUUAGUGUAUUUAAAUGGUAGAAUUCCCAUGUGAAAGAAAUUGGGGAUUCUGCUUCCAGCACUAGUAAUGAAGUAUGAAAGUGCCUUGGGGAGAUUAGAAGCAUGUGCAGAUGUCCCCUAACUAAUUCCAGUCUGCUAAUCAUGUGGAGGAGUUUCUUUGAUUAGCUGCAGAACCAUAUCUUAGGGUACACCUAAACAGCAUUUGGCUGACCAGAACUUCAUCCUUCUAUUCAACCUGUUGGUGUUCUAAUGGGUGAAGAGAAACACUGAUGUAAGAUAAGAGGUCUUGGGUCCUCCUCAUAUAAGGCUCACAUGUGACCUGUGAGUAUGGGCUUUGAUUCUUUGUCUUACAUUUGUCCUUUCAUUUUAAUAAAUGAGUUUGGAGGCUAUGAUUUUGUGAGUUU